This 633-nucleotide long non-coding RNA is filed under the name Gossypium barbadense (sea-island cotton). Its description in RNAcentral is "long non-coding RNA (GBAR_LNC023214)". The record is from RNAcentral. Lineage: Eukaryota; Viridiplantae; Streptophyta; Magnoliopsida; Malvales; Malvaceae.
AAAGCUUAACAAAUAUCAACUCCAAUAGCUCUACCAUGAAACUAACCCAAUCUAGCUUGAGAAUGAAAACUGUCAAAGGUUGCCUCCAGCUCCAUGUGUUUAUCCCACGAGUUUUGAGAUCUGUUGCAAAUUCUGGAUUUAUAUAAUCCCAUUGAUAAAUAUGAGAAAAAUGGUGAGGAUGCUGAAAAUCAUUAUAUCAACAUAAAAUCAUGAUAAUAAGUCAAAGUCAAAGGUAAUUACUUCUCCACCAAGACUGAAUUGCCAGAACCCAAAAAGGAGCUCAAAAGAUUACUUUGACUUUGUGUUGACAAAUCUGUUGGCAACUAGCAUUGUAACUAAAUAUCAGUUCAAACACUUGCAUAAAUCAAGCAUUCAGUAAAUAAAUUGAAGGUCUUACAGCUCAGGUGUUCCUCCUUGUAAGGCUAAAGCUCCAAUUCAGCAGUGGCAUUCCCAAAGAUUUGUCAUUCCCUAAUCUUACAUCAACACAGAAGCAAAGGAUAUAAGAAAAAACAAUCUCACAAAUAACCAAUCUUUCUAAUGAAUCAAGAUAUGAUUGAAGGAAAAUGCAGCAAGUAUUGAGAUACCAGAUGAUACCAACGCUGGAACUAAACAAUGAAGCAGAACCGAGUCCAC